RNAcentral lists this ribosomal RNA (1246 nucleotides) under Phytoplasma sp. RNAcentral's name for it is "bacterial SSU rRNA". It matches the Rfam family "Bacterial small subunit ribosomal RNA", at positions 153 to 1399 of the family's 1533-position model. The record is from RNAcentral. Lineage: Bacteria; Bacillati; Mycoplasmatota; Mollicutes; Acholeplasmatales; Acholeplasmataceae.
GAAACGACUGCUAAGACUGGAUAGGAGACAAGAAGGCAUCUUCUUGUUUUUAAAAGACCUAGCAAUAGGUAUGCUUAGGGAGGAGCUUGCGUCACAUUAGUUAGUUGGUGGGGUAAAGGCCUACCAAGACUAUGAUGUGUAGCCGGGCUGAGAGGUUGAACGGCCACAUUGGGACUGAGACACGGCCCAAACUCCUACGGGAGGCAGCAGUAGGGAAUUUUCGGCAAUGGAGGAAACUCUGACCGAGCAACGCCGCGUGAACGAUGAAGUAUUUCGGUACGUAAAGUUCUUUUAUUAGGGAAGAAUAAAUGAUGGAAAAAUCAUUCUGACUGUACCUAAUGAAUAAGCCCCGGCUAACUAUGUGCCAGCAGCCGCGGUAAUACAUAGGGGGCAAGCGUUAUCCGGAAUUAUUGGGCGUAAAGGGUGCGUAGGCGGUUAAAUAAGUUUAUGGUCUAAGUGCAAUGCUCAACAUUGUGAUGCUAUAAAAACUGUUUAGCUAGAGUAAGAUAGAGGCAAGUGGAAUUCCAUGUGUAGUGGUAAAAUGCGUAAAUAUAUGGAGGAACACCAGUAGCGAAGGCGGCUUGCUGGGUCUUUACUGACGCUGAGGCACGAAAGCGUGGGGAGCAAACAGGAUUAGAUACCCUGGUAGUCCACGCCGUAAACGAUGAGUACUAAACGUUGGGUAAAACCAGUGUUGAAGUUAACACAUUAAGUACUCCGCCUGAGUAGUACGUACGCAAGUAUGAAACUUAAAGGAAUUGACGGGACUCCGCACAAGCGGUGGAUCAUGUUGUUUAAUUUGAAGGUACCCGAAAAACCUCACCAGGUCUUGACAUGCUUUUGCAAAGCUGUAGAAACACAGUGGAGGUUAUCAGUUGCACAGGUGGUGCAUGGUUGUUGUCAGCUCGUGUCGUGAGAUGUUGGGUUAAGUCCCGCAACGAGCGCAACCCUUAUUGUUAGUUACCAGCACGUAAUGGUGGGGACUUUAGCAAGACUGCCAGUGAUAAAUUGGAGGAAGGUGGGGACGACGUCAAAUCAUCAUGCCCCUUAUGACCUGGGCUACAAACGUGAUACAAUGGCUGUUACAAAGGGUAGCUGAAGCGCAAGUUUUUGGCGAAUCUCAAAAAAACAGUUUCAGUUCGGAUUGAAGUUUGCAACUUGACUUCAUGAAGUUGGAAUCGCUAGUAAUCGCGAAUCAGCAUGUCGCGGUGAAUACGUUCUCGGGGUUUGUACACACCGCCCGUCA